Molecule: long non-coding RNA, 2305 nt
Filed under: Phaseolus vulgaris (common bean)
Lineage: Eukaryota; Viridiplantae; Streptophyta; Magnoliopsida; Fabales; Fabaceae
Description: long non-coding RNA (PVUL_LNC003731)
Source: RNAcentral
UCAUCCAAACCUCCCCCUUCAAUUUGAAAUAUAUCAGGUAUGAUAUUUUUUGCCCCUCCCUGAAUAUUGGCUACAAAUAGAUCCUUUGCUUUUUUUGCUAAACUCUUAAUUACCUCAUUUGAAAUGUGAAAAUAGUUAAGUAAUAAUGAGUGGAAAGAAAUAAGUGAAAUAUAUUUCUGAGAUAUUUUACAAAUGUGAUUACAGUCUCUAUUUAUAGACUGUUUUACAACCUAAUUAAAGAAAGAAAUAAUAGGCAAUGAAAGCCAGAAAUAAUGAGUGUUUAAAGCUGUACAAAUCAAAUCAAAUCACUAACAAAUCUGUCCUAAUAAAUAUAAAAUAGAAUCUGCACUUAAUUAUAACAUAAUUCUCCUGAUUAUGCAACACUCCCCCUCAAGUUGGUGAAUGUAUAUCUAUCAUUCCCAACUUGCAAGUAAGAUCUUCGAAUUGUUUUGCGGGAAGUCCCUUAGUAAACAUAUCUGCCAAUUGGAGUCUUGAAGGGAUGUACUCAGUGGCUAUAAGACCAUCAUCCAACUUUUCUUUAAUAAAGUGUCGGUCUAUCUCUACGUGCUUUGUUCGAUCAUGUUGAACCGGAUUGUGUGCAAUACUGAUAGCGGACUUAUUAUCACAUGCCAAACUCAUAGGAGCUUCAUAUUUUAUUUUUAGGUCAUCAAGUAUGAUCUUCAUCCAUAAGAGUUCACACACCCCUUGAGCCAUGGCUCUAAAUUCUGCCUCUGCACUUGAUCUUGCAACUACAUUUUGCUUCUUGCUCCUCCAUGUCACCAGAUUUCCACCCAAGAACAUGCAGUAGCCUGUGGUGGAUCUCCUAUCAACAAUCGAUCCUGCAUAGUCAGCAUCAGUAUAUACUUUCAUGGAUAAGUUUUCCCCCUUUUUGAAUAGCAAUCCUUUUCCUGGAGAGGCUUUUAAGUACUGAAUAAUUUUAUCUACUGCUUGCAAGUGUCUUUCUCUUGGAUCAUGCAUAAAUUGACUAACCACACUAACUGCAUAGGCUAUAUCUGGCCUAGUGUGUGAAAGAUAAAUGAGUUUUCCCAGUGAAGGUUACUCGUGGACGGGGCGGUUAGUCUGCAUCCNNNNNNNNNNNNNNNNNNNNNNNNNNNNNNNNNNNNNNNNNNNNNNNNNNNNNNNNNNNNNNNNNNNNNNNNNNNNNNNNNNNNNNNNNNNNNNNNNNNNAAUGGGAAGGGAAAAAUACCACUGUACAAUUUAAAUCUUGGGUAAUCUUUUGAAUAGACAAGAGGUUAUUGGAUAGUUUGGGAACAUGAAGCACAUUUUUUAAAGGAAAUGAAGGUUGAAGGUGAAUGUUACCACGACCAUUAAUGGGGGUAGUGGAACCAUUAGCAAUAGUAAUAUAUGGCUUACCGGAUAAAGUAGUGUAGGAUGAAAAAGAAGAGGAAUGAGGUGUCAUAUGAUCAGUAGCACCAGAGUCUAUAAUCCAGAUAUUUUCAGUACUAGAAGCAUUAAAGGAUAAAAAACUAGAACUCUUACCACUCAUAGUAAAGGAACAAUAGCUAGAUGGCUUACUAAGGGAGUCCAUGAGAGUUCAAAACCAACUGAGUUUUUCAGAUUGGCAAAAUUUGAUCCUGUUCACACACACAGGAAAAAAAAAUCUGCCGGAAAAAUUUUCCGGUGGCGGUUUCAGGCGGCCAGCGGCGGUUUCCGGCGAGCAGUGGCAGUUCCGGCGAGCGGUGCAGUUUCCGGCGAGCGACGGCAGUGGUGGUCGUCAAUGGUGCAAGGUGGUGGUGGUGGUCAAUGGAGAAAGGAUAAGGAAAAUAGAAAGUUGCAGCAAUGAAGGCUGUCCAACAAAUAAUUGCAGCAAUGAAGGCUGUCAAGGAAAAUGAUUACAGCAAUGAAGGCUAAAAAAAAAUUUGCGGAAGCAGAGUCUCCUAGAUCAGGAGCUCUGAUACCAAGUGGAAAGAAAUAAGUGAAAUAUAUUUCUGAGAUAUUUUACAAAUGUGAUUACAGUCUCUAUUUAUAGACUGUUUUACAACCUAAUUAAAGAAAGAAAUAAUAGGCAAUGAAAGCCAGAAAUAAUGAGUGUUUAAAGCUGUACAAAUCAAAUCAAAUCACUAACAAAUCUGUCCUAAUAAAUAUAAAAUAGAAUCUGCACUUAAUUAUAACAUAAUUCUCCUGAUUAUGCAACAUAAUGUUUUGUGAUUAGAGCAAAAUUCUUCAUCAUUAUACUCAUCAAAAUAACGGGAUCCUAAUAUAAUUCCGUACCUUUGCAAUGUUUGGGGGACACUGAAGGUGUUAAAGAAUUCAAUAUUGUCUUCACUGUUAGCAUCCCAUUCUC